RNAcentral lists this ribosomal RNA (305 nucleotides) under uncultured bacterium. RNAcentral's name for it is "bacterial SSU rRNA". It matches the Rfam family "Bacterial small subunit ribosomal RNA", at positions 335 to 655 of the family's 1533-position model. The record is from RNAcentral.
CUGCCUACGGGGGGCAGCAGUAGGGAAUCUUCCACAAUGGACGCAAGUCUGACCCAGCAACGCCGCGUGAAGGAAGAAGGCUUUCGGGUUGUAAACUUCUUUUAAGGGGGAAGAGCAGAAGACGGUACCCCUUGAAUAAGCCACGGCUAACUACGUGCCAGCAGCCGCGGUAAUACGUAGGUGGCAAGCGUUGUCCGGAUUUACUGGGUGUAAAGGGCGUGCAGCCGGAGAGACAAGUCAGAUGUGAAAUCCACAGGCUCAACCUGUGAACUGCAUUUGAAACUGUUUCCCUUGAGUAUCGGAGA